RNAcentral lists this long non-coding RNA (820 nucleotides) under Ananas comosus (pineapple). Its description in RNAcentral is "long non-coding RNA (ACOM_LNC013046)". Lineage: Eukaryota; Viridiplantae; Streptophyta; Magnoliopsida; Poales; Bromeliaceae. The record is from RNAcentral.
AUACAGAUUAGGAUUAUAAUAAAGAUAAAAUCAAAAAUAAAAAUAAAAUAAAAUAAACUGAAUGUGUGGUCGCAUGCGCGCCGCCGCCCACCAUGUUGUGCGUGUAUUUAAAUGAGAACAUAACUUUCAUUUUCUACCAAGUAACUAACUUGAGAAUAAAAAAAUAUAUAAAUACCAACAACACCUUUUCAGUUUUCAAUAUAGGACUAAAUUUCACAUAUGAAAAUUUUAGUUAGACCAACCGUCCCUAAAGCAAGUGGCAAAGGGCUUGGUGGUUGAUACCCGAGACCCAGGUUUGAAUCCUAGUUGAUUCACAUUUCCAGCUAAAUUUAUUUCUAAAUGAAAUAAAUGAAGCGGGUAGCGUGCUACCUAUCUCUCUCAAAAAAAAAAUAAUAAUAAUAAUAGUUAGGCUUCCAGGCAAGACCCAUUAAGUAUUGGACUGUGCAAGAGGCCUAACAAGUUUUAAAUCACUAAAAAUCCAAUAAAAUCCAACAGAAUAGGAAUCUAACGGAAGUUGAAAUAACUAAUUAUUUAUUGUAAAAGCUUGUCCGAUUAUAGUAUCUUAAUAUUUUAUAUUCAACAAAUGGACGAGAAAAUGAUAGAAUAUAUUUGUCAACUUGUCUUCCAUUAUUUGAUCCAAAUCCAAACCACGUAGCAAAUGUCUAAGAAUUAAGAUUCUACAGCAGUUGUUUCAGCAAUUGAUAAUUAGUAUUCGAGAUUUUAAGUUUGAAACUUAGCUGCUUUAUAUUUUCAGCCGAGUUCAUUUCUAAAAAAAUGAACUAAGCAUGCAGCUUACUAUCUUUUUCUCUCUCUCUCACUC